This 2443-nucleotide long non-coding RNA is filed under the name Takifugu rubripes (torafugu). Its description in RNAcentral is "lncRNA (ENSTRUG00000028696.1)". The record is from RNAcentral. Lineage: Eukaryota; Metazoa; Chordata; Actinopteri; Tetraodontiformes; Tetraodontidae.
GGAACAUCCAGCAGAAGAGUCUCUGCUGCUUCACUCAGGCAGAUGUUGGACAAGAGGGCAGCACGCGAUGCAUAAACAAAGAUGCCGGAGGAGACGAUGAAGGACUCUUAGGGGCUAAAGGACGCGGUCUCUGUUUUUGAUAGUAAAGCUCACUUAUAUUCGCUAAGUCUUUAUUCCUUGAAGCAUCUCUUAUCUUUGUACCCAAACAUGGGCUGCUCCUCAUCCAGCGCACAGACCGUAGAACAGGAGAAAAGACCAGGCACAAAGCCAGAAGAGAGCAAUGGAGACACACAGGCGGUCAGAAAUGGCCUCCUUGCUGAAGAGGCCCAAACCAUCGAGGACCAGCUGCAGUUGCCCGUUCAGACUGCCUUACCAGAAGAUCUCCAACCAGUGACUGAUAAUGAAACGCAGGAUGUAUUAUUAGCCACGGAGGCCCAGGAGGAUCUCUGUUUCCAUGAAGACAAAGAUCCUUGGAUGGAAGAUGUUGCCCCUGUUGAUCCAGCUGAAAUCUGUGCUGAACUUGAGGCUUCUGAAGAGGCUGUGGAGACCCUCCCCCAGGAAGAUGCUGGUCCCAUAGAGACCCCACUAGAGGACGCUUCCAUCGACCAACCCUUGAAUGAGGCCACACAGAAGGAACCGGAGUUUGUAGCUAUGCUGACAGAGACUGUGGCUUUGGUGGAGGAAGUUUCUGCCGAGACAGCUCCAGAAGUUACCAUUGGUUCUGCUGAAACCACCGGUUCUGAACCAUUGGAGGCUUUAAUGGUUGAGGAAGAGGCAGCAGUGUUAACAUCUGACCAAGCUGCCAGACCAGGAACAACUAAGUCCACAGAGCCAGUCCUGAGCGGGCCCACGGAACCAGGAACAACUGUGCCCACUGAGCCAGGGUCAAGUGAGACCACAGACCUUGCAACUGCUGAGCCCACAGAACCAGUACCUGAUGAGGAAGCUGAACAAGCACCGACUGCGCCCACAGAGCCAGCACCCAGCGAGCCCACAGACCUUGAAACUGCUGAGCCCACAGAACCAGUACCAGGUGAUAAUCCAGAACAAGCACCAAUUAUACAGACAGAAUCUGGACCAAGUGAUGAAGCAGGACUACCAGUAAGUGAAACCACAGAAACGGCAUCCAGUGAGUCUGCAGGACCAGUACCAAAUGAGGCUGUUGGACCAGAAUCAAGUGACAAGACCGACCCAGCUCCAAGCGAGGACAGAGGACCAACAAUUGAGUCAAUGGAACCGUCUCCGAAUCGUGAUACAGAACAAGCAUCAAUUGACUGCAAAGGACCAGAACCUAGUGAGGAAGCAGCACUACCAUUAGGUGAGCCCAUAGAACCAGUAUCAAGUAAAUCUGCAGGACCAGUACCAUGUGACAACACAGAACCAACCCCAAGUGAGGACAGAGGUCCAACAACAACUGAGACAGCAGAAUCUGCACCAACUCGUGAGGCACAGCAAGCAACAAUAGAGACCGAAGGACCCGAACCAAGUGAAGAUGUAAACCCACCAUUAAGUGAGAUCAUAGAACCAGUAUUGUCAAAUGAGGCCUCGAGACCAGAACCAUGUGAUGAUAUAGAACCAUCUUCAACAGAGGAUGCAGGGCAAAUAACAACUGAGGAAACAGAACCCGAACUGAAUGAGCCUGCAGAACAAACGCCACUGGAGACUUCAGGACCUUCACCAAAUGAAGGUACAGAAUCAGUGAUACACAAGAUUGCAGAACCAGUAGAACCAGUAGAACCAGUCCCACCAAGUGAAACUACAACUGGAAAUGAGGUUCUGGGUGUCACUCCAGUCCCAGCUGAAGCUGCAGAACCUUUAACAGAGGAAGCGGCUGUAGAAUCGGUAUCGGGUGAGGUUGUAGCUGCAUGUGAAGAUGCAGCGGCGACUCUGGAUCUGCCACCAGAUGUGGCUGUGGCACCAGAUGUGGCUGUGGCACCAGAUGUGGCUGUGGCACCGGAUGUGGCUGUGGCACCGGAUGUGGCUGUGGCACCGGAUGUGGCUGUGGCACCGGAUGUGGCUGUGGCACCAGAUGUGGCUGUGGCACCGGAUGCACAAGCAGCAACAACAACGAUGCAAGCGAUGCCCGUCGAAUGUCUGGACCUGGUAAUAGAUCCAGAGAUCGCUUUAGCAACCAUUCCACAGCUGCCUCCAUCACCUCCCCCCACCGGUACGACCCAAGGCCACCAUCCGCUCGCUGAGGAGGAGGGAACAGCAGUGGAGGCAUCCAGCCCAACAGAACCCGCCCGUGCUCCAGCCCCCAAGGACAGACUUCCCGUCGCCACACUGGAUCAGGAGGAAGAGUUUCCAGCAUCUAGACCUGAAGAAGCAGAGACGGUAGUCAGCACGCCCAUGGCAGAGGCUCCCAUGGACGAGUCCACCUCUUCAGAACCUGCAGCGGGAUCUGCACUGGAGCUAAGUGACAAAGCCAAAAUGGAUUAAGAAG